UACUACGGCCAUGCCACCCUGAACACGCCCGAUCCCAUCUGAUCUCGGAAGCUAAGCAGGGUCGGGCCUGGUUAGAACUUGGAUGGGAGGCUGCCUAGGAAGACCAGGUGCUGUUGGCG
RNAcentral lists this ribosomal RNA (119 nucleotides) under Pteropus alecto (black flying fox). Lineage: Eukaryota; Metazoa; Chordata; Mammalia; Chiroptera; Pteropodidae. The record is from RNAcentral.